Molecule: transfer RNA, 76 nt
Filed under: Bacillota bacterium
Lineage: Bacteria; Bacillati; Bacillota
Also listed under: 1 other name
Description: tRNA-His
Rfam family: tRNA
About the family: Transfer RNA (tRNA) molecules are approximately 80 nucleotides in length. Their secondary structure includes four short double-helical elements and three loops (D, anti-codon, and T loops). Further hydrogen bonds mediate the characteristic L-shaped molecular structure. tRNAs have two regions of fundamental functional importance: the anti-codon, which is responsible for specific mRNA codon recognition, and the 3' end, to which the tRNAs corresponding amino acid is attached (by aminoacyl-tRNA synthetases). tRNAs cope with the degeneracy of the genetic code in two manners: having more than one tRNA (with a specific anti-codon) for a particular amino acid; and 'wobble' base-pairing, i.e. permitting non-standard base-pairing at the 3rd anti-codon position.
Source: RNAcentral
GUGGGUGUCGUCAAGUGGUUAAGACCCAGGAUUGUGAUUCCUGUAUACGUGAGUUCGAAUCUCACCAUCCACCCCA